GGUACGAGUCACUGACAUAUGAUGCAUUUUGUUAUUUUUUUAUCUCUGUUUUGACUGAUAUUAAGCGUCAAAUGCCUCUGAUCAUCCUGCAGACACAGUGAUAUGUGUAGAGUCUGUUAAUUCAGCUCAGUAUUCUUUUUCAGCAGCUUACACUGUUUAUUUUGAUGUUAGACAUUUCCUUUGGACCAUGGGCUGCGUCACUACUCUGUUAAAAAAAACAAUGAGAGCUGAACUCUUCCUCUGAAGAUGCUCUUUCAUUUAUUUUGGUUGAACUGUUUAUGUAUUUUGAUUUCCAGAGAUCCAGACGUGCUGUUGUUACCAAGUCUCACUCCUGAUAGACUGUAGUUUUCUCUGGUUUUUAGCUCCCAGUUUACCUGUACAACCAGGUAACCACCAGGUAAUCCCUCAUCCUCUCUAGUUAGCUCAGUUUAUGCUUUCCGUCUGUGCAUCAAUCAUAAUUAAAACAAGAAUUGUGUGACGUUCUUACUUUUUACAUUCUUUAAAUAUUGGUCAACUUUUACGGCUGUACAUGCAGUUGAGUAAAAACUUCAAUUAGCCCUGAAAGACUUUUACAGUAACAUAUAGGAUGUAAAUAUCUUAUUUUACUUUAAAUUUUCCCAUUAACAACAUAAAUCUUAGGUGUCAAAUUGCUGCAUUAUAUGUCUCAUGUCAAAGAAUCGUUAGAAGUUGAUUGCUGAGAGGUGGAUUAAAAAAGAAUACAGUAUUAGUCAGUCUCACCCUUUAUUCACAUUUUCCCUGAUAGUGAGUGUUUAUUCUAACCCACCAGUCGGCAUCUGGGUGGAUUCUGCACCUCACUGUGAGCGGCUGUUUGUCAGGGUCAGAUAGUUGGAGGGCUCUGGGCUUACCAUGGCAGUGGGCAUUCGUGCUAUCUCUGGCACAGCUUUUAUUGAACUGUUUACUGAGAGAGGGAGAGUGACUGAAGAAUGGAGUAAAGAAUGGAGGGAGAGAGAAAGGGAUGGGGGAGGGGAGGCGGCGGCUGUGUGGGCGUUUGAUGCCCUCCAUCUUUCUCUGUCAGCAUGGUUUCUCCUCUGUAUCUAAUCCUGCCAGGACACCAGCUGCUCCCACAGUGGCACCACCUCAGGCCCAGACACUUCCUCUCACCACCUCUCCCCUCUCUCCCCCUCUCCCUCCUAUCCCGCCCGGCCCGCUUUCUGGUGGGACCCCUGUGGCCAUGCUGGGGUCUGUGGAGCCAAGUUCACACUGAAGGAAUGAUUGCAAUGACAGUGGUGUUUCUUUGCUCGUCUGCAGGGAACAGCUUUGAUCCCGUCUGCAUCAGUGAGCAGCAGCGACAGACGGGAUAAUCGACUUGCUGAAUGGCUGGACCAAUCACAAGAGGCAAAGCAUUCAGUGUUCAGAGUGUUUCUAUUCCUGUACAGCAUCUUAAGACACUUUAAAGGUAGUCUACGAGUGAAAGACAAACACAAGAAGCAACCUCAGGUGUUAAAAAUGCAGCACAUGGAGAGCUGCAAAAAAACUGCAGUCCUUCAAGUGACCACUGGAGGCUGUCUGUAAAAGUCGAGGAAUUAGAUUUUAUGCUGAAUUAUUCAUCUCUUUGAAAAAACAAAAAAACAAAACAAAACAUGUUUACAGCCUGGAUUUGGUUUCAUCAGCUUCUUCACAUAAAACACGUUUUUUGUAAGGGGCUGGAGAUGGGAUUAUUGUGGGGUCAUGGAGAAAGAAUAUUUUUCGUCAAGUCACUUUAAAUAUAACAUAAAACUUAAGUCAGUCAAGGCAUCGCUAUAAGGCGCAGUCUUUUUAGAGCAAGGCUCCAAUAAAAUGUCUUUAGUCAAGUCCCAAGUCACUUUAAACAAGUCCAAUAUCAUUCGUAAUAGGACCAAAUCAAGUCCCAGUCAAAGCAAGUAACACAAUUCCCCACAAGUUUGCUGCAUUAAGUCUCAAGUCUCCAAAUGUUGAUAGCAUCAACUCAAAAAACAUUCUAUAUGCGACAUUAGAAAAUCAUAUGUAAACUGAUUUAUGGAAUUAAACCCUUAUAUUUGUAUGUUAAUCAUUACAGUCAUUUAAUAUUUACAAACUGUGAAGCUCUUACUCAUCACCCUAAGUUACAAUUCCAGGUUGUUUGGUGGUCUCUGGCACUUUGAAGGCUAACACAUUGUUACAUCUUUAUUUAUAAGGCAAGUCUUGGUCUGCUUCCACACUGCCUUUGUGUAUUUAUCACACAGAAAAAGUGCUGGACAGUAUUCAUUGUGCUCCCAGGACUUCUUUAUGUUCUCUGUCCCCGGAGCUCAUACAUAAAUUAGUAAAAGGGCUUUUGGGUUUUGUGCACCUUCAGCCUUGAAAGUAUUACAGAAUGACUUGAAUUUCAAGGAUCUGGAGUCAGUCUUGGCAAGGUCUCCCUUGAAAAGGAGAUUUUUCAUCUCAAUGGGUUCAACCUGGUUUCAAAAUGAAUAAAUGAUUAAAAAAAUAAAAACCUGUACUGCACCAAUCCAUGCAGUUGUGGUCAGAUUAACUACAUGAACAGUGAGGUUUCCUUUUCCAUAAUAUUUUAACCAUAAAAAGUAAUAUUACUGAGUAGAGAUCAGGCACUGAAUCUGGACAAUAUUUUAGAGCAGCAUAAGAAGUUUAACAGCAUCAGAUUAAUGCAAACAUAUGGCAGCUUCACUAAACAUUAUUUUUUAAUUGUUAAUUUCUAUCAUUUUACUAAUUAACCGUGUAAACCAUCUGGAUGCAGACUGUGCUCACAACGUGAAACUGUGCAGCAUCAAAAAACAAUCUGAGUCCACAGAGAGGCUGAUUUGUUCCUCUUUUAAUGUUAUUGAACAGCAGACACCAGCACCGAGCGAUGAAACGGGGGUGCAAGUUGGACUGGUUUAGGUCUCUUUACCUCAUUUCACUAUUCGUGUCAGCAGUGUGAAGGGGUUAUUAUUCACCAAUUUUGAUGCUUUAAAAGUUAUGUGAAAUCAACAAUAAAUAUACGGUCUUUGAUUUAAUUUGGGCUUCAUAUUGCUUCCCCAGAGAUUUGUGAAUUUAAACAAGUCCCGUACACAGCUGAGAAGUGUUCCUCUGUAUUAUUUGUUUUGUGUCACAGUCAAUAUUUAGUGUUUUAUAUGCAAGUCAGUCAUUUUCUUUUUAAAUCUGUGCUAAUCACUUAGAAAUCAUUUAGUCACCGAUGUAUAAUUAUGGUCCGUGUGAAAGCUCCUCUUGAUCACUGCUGUCAGGGGUGGCAGGUAAUGUAGGCUGAGGGUCUGUGUGUGUGUGUGUGUUGUUUUUGUUGCAGCCAAUGGGUAAGCUCAAUAAACACUCAUCAUAUCCACGUAGCCUAUCACAUUAUAACUUGUCAGCAAAGCAUCUUAUCAGUCAACAUCCCACCAAUCACAGAGAACCAAGCACGUCUUUGAAAGUUACAGCUAGUUAGUGUUUUAUUCAGCCAGCCAUGGAUAUACAAAAAUUUGGACCGGACUCACAAUAAAAUUAGGCUAACUGACCUGGGAGAAAAAAACAGUGGCCUAUCUCAGCCCAUCCUGCCGGAGUAUCUGAAAACAUUUUUUGGGAAACAGAGGUUUUUUUCCGACUAUUUCAAAACCUGCAACUUUAAAGAAUACAGUAAAGAGGCUGACUGUGUAUUUUGUUUUCCAUGCCGGGACUUCCAGUGCGGCAGUGGCCAUAGAGACGCCGCUUUGGUAACUAACAGUGUAUGGAACAUGGAAAAUAUUUUCGAUAGGCUACAGAGACAUGCUGAAUCUGCAUCACAUUGGCAACACAUAGAGCAAUGGCAGGGUUAUUUGGAAUCAAAAACUGCUGGAUCUGUUGCUGCCAAGUCAAGUGACAGUAAUGGUCAUAUUCACAUUGUCCUUUCAGGUUUUUAAAACAAGUAUGAUCGGUGGUCAGACUUAGCAUUCCCAGACCUCAGCCUCAACCGCUGCCAAAGACUGCUGCCCAUCUUUUCUUUCAUUAAACUCCAGCAAUGUUUUAGAGAUUUAAUAAAAUAUGGGCUGCUGCACGUGUCAAUCAGUGAGUGAUAUUGGAUACAGGGAAACGACAUCUGCAAAGACUGCUCUCGUGUAUCCUCUUUUAUUGCUCCUUCUAAUUCCCUCCUCUUUCCUUGAUCCUUUCUCCAAGCCUCAAAAACAGCUCCUUAAAACGGUGGGUCCAUAACCACUACCAGUUCACCCAAAGAUUCAGGAACAAGACUCAGGACCAAGGACAGAGGAAACAGCGUUUUAGAGAACUAUAGUUCUAUCAGUCAGAUCAGGUCAGAAUACUCACAGCAGCAACAGCUGAUUGUUGGUGUCAUCCUUUUUUUUAAAUAAACUAAAAAAAAAAAAAAAAAGCUAAAACACAAUGAAAGCCUAGGACACAAUGAAGGAUUUUUAGAAUCUUACAGAUUAUUAAAAACAUCAGAGACAACAAACAUGACAACAAAUGAUGACAGAUUUAACAGGUUUCACUCUGAUGAGUAAUCACAGAGAUCUUAAAGUCCCACUCUGAUCGGUUUUUCUUUUUUUAAUACUUAAAAAGUUCUCAGUGGUCUCACCUCCCUUUGUAAUUUUGUUUGUGAUGUUUUUUUUGCUAAACAUAUUGUGUAAACACAUGUUGCUGUCAUAUGUCAAUGGGUUGAUUCUAUAUUUAGGACGUCCAUCUCUGUUGAUGUGUUGUGAUUACUUUUGUUGCCAUGGUUGCAUUUCCACAUGACAAUGGACAGAGUGCAUGAGCGCAUGGCUUUUUCUGAACCCAAAAGCAGAACCGGAGGCAUAUGAAGCAUUGAAGAGAAUUUAUUGAUUGGAGAAAAUGGAGGGAAGGGAUCCAGGGUCCUAAGCGUGAGGAGUGAAUCCAGGGAGUAAUAAGGGCUGGAGGUGUGAGGGCUUGUGGCCAAAGCAGGUGAGUGGUUUUCAGAGAGACUGUGGCAGCGUAGCAGAGAUUGGGCGAAUCUUACUGGGGCUUGUGGAGGCACUGGAAGAAAAGUAGAAAAGACACCAGUAAGUCACAGGGGAUGCACACAAAAAUAGGCAAUGUUCAACAGGUAGCAAAACACGCAAGGACUCCAGCAGAGUAGGCCAAUGUACCACAUGAGAUGUAGGAAAAAUCUGGCACCGCAGGGGCAGCUGGUGAUUGCAGUGAUUAGGUGCAGGUGUGAAGGUGCAGGGAGGAAAUGCCCAGUCUCUGCUAAGAAAAAGGCCCAAUCCCAAACCGACCCCUACAUACUCGCCCUUCACAACUGAGUAUCACUUGUAAUGAAGUUACACUCCCAGCUCUGGAGUGCGCCUCAAUUGAAACGCCAAGCAGCCUGCUGCGUCAUCAGCCUGCCUCACACCAUGAGCACAAAAUGAAGAGUCUUCAGAGUCAGACAACAUCACGUUCAACAACGUUUAUUUUCUAAACUAGACUUAAACUUUGCUCUUUAUUCUCACCGACAUCGCUCUGGCUGAUCGCAUGUGGAGAUUCACUCUGAGGAAGUUAACUCAUGAUGCCAUGCAUGCUGCAGGCCAGCGCUGCGAGCCCAGAGCAGCGAGCCAGGCAAAAAGAGUCCGCACGCAAGCGAUCCACACAUUUUAGCGUGUUUAAUGCACAGUUGUGCUCUUUUUUUUCACUUUUUUCUUUUUUUUUUCAGAAUAAACAAAUAUUAUUUACUAAACGGAUAGUAAGAACAGCCCCAUUCACACGAAUAUCGGAAUAACCACGCACAUCCCUAAAAGAUUCAAUGCCAUAGCAACACAAAGACACGUCCUGUGCAUAGCAGCAUUUCUUUUCUUAGUAAACAGCCAUCAUGUACAGUUCUGAGCCACACUGGCUUUCUCGUUUUUUUUCAUUGUCCCAGUGAAAUCCUAAAUCCAGUAACCAUUACAGUGACAGGAGCUAAAUUAUACUUCUGAUUGUUAGUGAUUCCACACGUCUUUGAACCCCUUUACUAUUUGACAUGUGCCUGCACAAUCAAAUCAAACCUCAGCACAGAGUAAGAUUUUUGAGUUUAAUUUGAUCUUUCCAAAUCACGUCUUUUGUUUUGUUUUGUUUUUUGUUUUUAUUUUGUCAGUGAGACAAAGAUGGACACAUACGGAACUUACAUUUGUAUGUUGUUUCCUCCUUCUCCAUUUUUUCCGGCGCACUACCUGCAAAUCCUGUUGCGAGUGUGCACCGUUGCGGACUCGCUAUCUGAGGGCUGGAUGGUCCACUCACUCUCCGCACGCUGUGGUUUGUGAUGGCCCCAAAUAUGGCAGAGCCUCUGCAGGGACGCGCAAACGGAGGGGGAGUGUGUAGGGUAAGUGUGUAGGGGGCGGUUUGGGAUUGGGCCAAACACACACACACACACACACUCCACACAAGAAACAGUAACUCAGGAACACACCAAAAUAAAACCAAAAUGCCACAAUCCCCACGAGUUUCCUGUAUAGAUCAGGAGCUCAAGUGUUUGUUGCAUGUGAAUCCAGGUUACAUGUUAAAGCUCUCUUGAAGACUUAAAAACAGGCAACUGGACUGUGUAGAGUUGCGUGCUUUUAAGUCUUCAAGAUAACCAUGACCUGGAUGAAUGAGAAUCUACAUGGACAUGUUAAAGCUCUGUUCACUUAAAUAGAUGUCACAGCCUGCUUCAGCGCUGCUGGCUGUUGAAGUUGACAGACAAGUGGAGUUAAGAGUGGCAGGUAGAGACUGGCAUCAUGUUUGUCUGCCCUCCAACAGUGAGCUGUGACUGGAUGCUGCUGGUUGUCUGCUCUGUCACUCUGAUACUGUGAUCGCCCGUCAGACUCCUCUUUGAGACCCUUCUGUUUCUUAACUUAGAAGGAUCAAUAUGCUGCAGCUCGGGGCGAUGGCAGGGUGAGGAGGAAGGGGAGGUGUGAGGGGCCUGGGUUGGCGUCUUGGUUGGUAUUUUAUGAGCUCAGUGCAGAGAAACUGUAAAAUAGUCUUGUUUAAAUAUUAUCUCAGUUUAAAACACAGAACUAACAUCUACUUAAUGAAAGGAAAACAACAGCAGUCUCUCUGAGGAGGCAUAAAUCCCUAUUUUUCAGACGGGUGUACAUGUGUGCUGUGUAUUAUUAGUGCCUUUGCUCUCUGUGUGUGUCCUGUUUCAGAAAGAUGCUCUUACAUUCCUCCUCGCUCAUUUAAGAGCUGUUUAGUUGUUUUUUUUCUCUUCUUUGUUAUUCUCUUGUUUUGUCUCCCCUCGUCUUUUCUCUCCUCUG
Non-coding RNA from Xyrichtys novacula (pearly razorfish), 7145 nucleotides. Lineage: Eukaryota; Metazoa; Chordata; Actinopteri; Labriformes; Labridae. The record is from the annotation of a GenBank genome assembly.